CCUACGGGUGGCAGCAGUGGGGAAUAUUGCGCAAUGGGCGAAAGCCUGACGCAGCGACGCCGCGUGAGGGAUGAAGGUCUUCGGAUCGUAAACCUCUGUCAGCAGGGAAGAACGGUCACUGUGCUAAUCAGCAGUGAAUUGACGGUACCUGCAAAGGAAGCACAGGCUAACUCCGUGCAAGCAGCCGCGGUAAAACGGAGGGCGCGAGCGUUAAUCGGAAUUACUGGGCGUAAAGCGCUCGUAGGCGGUAUGUCAAGUCAAGGGUGAAAUCCCCGGGCUCAACUUGGGAACUGCCUUUGAAACUGGCAAACUGGAGUGAGUGAGAGGAUAGUGGAAUUCCAGGUGGAGGGGUGAAAUCCGUAGAUAUCUGGAGGAACAUCAGGGGCGAAGGCGACUAUCUGGGACAUAACUGACGCUGAGGAGCGAAAGCGUGGGUAGCGAACAGGAUUAGAUACCCCUGUAGUG
RNAcentral lists this ribosomal RNA (465 nucleotides) under uncultured bacterium. RNAcentral describes it as "partial 16S ribosomal RNA". It matches the Rfam family "Bacterial small subunit ribosomal RNA", at positions 338 to 795 of the family's 1533-position model. The record is from RNAcentral.